AGAGUUUGAUCAUGGCUCAGAACCGAACGCCGGCGGCGUGCUUAACCNCAUGCAAGUCGAACGAAGAAAUCGGGCACUUCAGGCAACUGAGUUGCCGGAGAGUAAAAGUGGCGCACGGGUGAGUAACACGUGGGUAACCUACCCCCGAAUCCGGGAUAACCUCGCGAAAGCGUUGCUAAUACCGGAUAUUGUCCUUUUGGUUGUGACCUUUGGGAUGAAAGGCAACCUCUUCAUGAAAGUUGUCGUUCAGGGAUGGGCCCGCGUACCAUUAGCUUGUUGGUGGGGUAACGGCUCACCAAGGCUACAAUGGUUAGCUGGUCUGAGAGGAUGAUCAGCCACACUGGAACUGAAACACGGUCCAGACUCCUACGGGAGGCAGCAGUGAGGAAUUUUGCGCAAUGGGGGAAACCCUGACGCAGCAACGCCGCGUGAGUGAAGAAGGCUUUCGGGUCGUAAAGCUCUGUCAAGUGGGAAAAAAGUCUGAUGAUUAAUAGUUGUCAGAUCUGAUGGUACCACUGGAGGAAGCACCGGCUAACUCCGUGCCAGCAGCCGCGGUAAUACGGAGGGUGCAAGCGUUGUUCGGAAUUACUGGGCGUAAAGGGCGUGCAGGCGGGUUGGUAAGUCAGAUGUGAAAGCCCUGGGCUUAACCCAGGAAGUGCAUUUGAAACUGCCAUCCUAGAGUAUGGGAGAGGAGAGUGGAAUUCCCAAUGUAGAGGUGAAAUUCGUAGAUAUUGGGAGGAACACCCGUGGCGAAGGCGACUCUCUGGACCAAUACUGACGCUGAGACGCGAAAGCGUGGGGAGCAAACAGGAUUAGAUACCCUGGUAGUCCACGCUGUAAACGAUGAGGACUAGGUGUAGCGGGUAUUGACCCCUGCUGUGCCGAAGUUAACCNCAUAAGUUUCCGCCUG
Molecule: ribosomal RNA, 910 nt
Filed under: uncultured bacterium
Lineage: Bacteria
Description: bacterial SSU rRNA
Rfam family: Bacterial small subunit ribosomal RNA
Source: RNAcentral